RNAcentral lists this transfer RNA (72 nucleotides) under Streptomyces mutabilis. Lineage: Bacteria; Bacillati; Actinomycetota; Actinomycetes; Kitasatosporales; Streptomycetaceae. The record is from RNAcentral.
CGGAUGGUGCUGCUAGUGAGCGAGAGCCUCCUGACCCUGGCGCGUGACAGGGACCCGGCCACAGCCCACCUG